UACUAGAGUAGCACUCGCAUAUCAAUAAGCGGAGGAAAAGAAACUAACAAGGAUUCCCCUAGUAACGGCGAGUGAAGCGGGAAGAGCUCAAAUUUGAAAUCUUAAAGGGUUUCCCUUUACGAAUUGUAGUUUAAAGAAGUGUUUUCUGUUGAGGUUUUGGUAAAAGUUCUUUGGAAUAGGACAUCAUAGAGGGUGAGAAUCCCGUAUUUGACCUUUACUUUCAACUUUGUGAUACACUUUCAAAGAGUCGGAUUGUUUGGGAAUGCAGUCCAAAAUGGGUGGUAAAUUUCAUCUAAAGCUAAAUAUUGGCGAGAGACCGAUAGCGGAACAAGUACCGUGAGGGAAAGAUGAAAAGAACUUUGAAAAGAGAGUUAAACAGUACGUGAAAUUGUCAAAAGGGAAGCGUUUGACACCAGUGUUGUUUUUCUGAAAAUCAAUUAAAGAACUGUUUAUGCUAAGUUGUUUAGACUUUAUCAGCUAAUCUGUUUAGUUUUGAGCUUUUCUUUAAUGCACUUUUCAGUUAACAAGUCAACAUCAAUUUCUUUUGCUGUAAAAAAGCUUGAGGAAGGUGGCUUGAGAUUCGUCUUAAGUGUUUAUAGCCUCUUGCCUAUGCAGUCGGAGAGAUUGAGGUCUGCAGCGUAGAUCCUUCGGGGCUAAAUGCAUUUGUGCUAAGUUAUAGCAUUUUAUAGACAACUUGUUGACUAUGAUUUGUCUUGUAGCUUACUCGCUUAUGUUAUUUUACCUACGCUUAGGAUGUUGAGCGCAUGUCUCUCUCU
This 776-nucleotide ribosomal RNA is filed under the name uncultured Neocallimastigales. Its description in RNAcentral is "partial large subunit ribosomal RNA". It matches the Rfam family "Eukaryotic large subunit ribosomal RNA", at positions 20 to 616 of the family's 3401-position model. The record is from RNAcentral. Lineage: Eukaryota; Fungi; Neocallimastigomycota; Neocallimastigomycetes; Neocallimastigales.